This 496-nucleotide ribosomal RNA is filed under the name uncultured bacterium. RNAcentral's name for it is "partial 16S ribosomal RNA". It matches the Rfam family "Bacterial small subunit ribosomal RNA", at positions 28 to 506 of the family's 1533-position model. The record is from RNAcentral.
GAUGAACGCUGGCGGCGUGCCUAAUACAUGCAAGUCGAGCGAACAGACGAGGAGCUUGCUCCUCUGACGUUGGCGGCGGACGGGUGAGUAACACGUGGAUAACCUACCUAUAAGACUGGGAUAACUUCGGGAAACCGGAGCUAAUACCGGAUAAUAUAUUGAACCGCAUGGUUCAAUAGUGAAAGACGGUUUUGCUGUCACUUAUAGAUGGAUCCGCGCCGCAUUAGCUAGUUGGUAAGGUAACGGCUUACCAAGGCAACGAUGCGUAGCCGACCUGAGAGGGUGAUCGGCCACACUGGAACUGAGACACGGUCCAGACUCCUACGGGAGGCAGCAGUAGGGAAUCUUCCGCAAUGGGCGAAAGCCUGACGGAGCAACGCCGCGUGAGUGAUGAAGGUCUUCGGAUCGUAAAACUCUGUUAUUAGGGAAGAACAAAUGUGUAAGUAACUAUGCACGUCUUGACGGUACCUAAUCAGAAAGCCACGGCUAACUACGU